UUACCUGGUCUUGACAUCCACAGAACUUUCCAGAGAUGGAUUGGUGCCUUCGGGAACUGUGAGACAGGUGCUGCAUGGCUGUCGUCAGCUCGUGUUGUGAAAUGUUGGGUUAAGUCCCGCAACGAGCGCAACCCUUAUCCUUUGUUGCCAGCGGUCCGGCCGGGAACUCAAAGGAGACUGCCAGUGAUAAACUGGAGGAAGGUGGGGAUGACGUCAAGUCAUCAUGGCCCUUACGACCAGGGCUACACACGUGCUACAAUGGCGCAUACAAAGAGAAGCGACCUCG
RNAcentral lists this ribosomal RNA (286 nucleotides) under Escherichia coli. RNAcentral's name for it is "partial 16S ribosomal RNA". It matches the Rfam family "Bacterial small subunit ribosomal RNA", at positions 971 to 1257 of the family's 1533-position model. Lineage: Bacteria; Pseudomonadati; Pseudomonadota; Gammaproteobacteria; Enterobacterales; Enterobacteriaceae. The record is from RNAcentral.